GCCGUCUAAGUUUUCGGUUAAAUCUAUGCGCUUAACGUAUAGGCCGCCGAAAAUACUGGACAGCUAGGGAGUGGGAGAGGUACACGGUACUCAAUAGGAAGGGGUAAAAUCCUUUGAUCUAUUGAUGACCACCUGUGGCGAAGGCGGUGUACCAGAACACGUUCGACGGUGAGGGAUGAAAGCUGGGGGAGCAAACCGGAUUAGAUACCCGGGUAGUCCCAGCUGUAAACGAUGCAGACUCGGUGAUGCAUUGGCUUGUGGCCAAUGCAGUGCCGCAGGGAAGCCGUUAAGUCUGCCGCCUGGGAAGUACGUACGCAAGUAUGAAACUUAAAGGAAUUGGCGGGGGAGCACCACAAGGGGUGAAGCCUGCGGUUCAAUUGGAGUCAACGCCAGAAACCUUACCCGGGGCGACAGCAGAAUGAAGGUCAAGCUGAAGACUUUACCAGACAAGCUGAGAGGUGGUGCAUGGCCGUCGCCAGCUCGUGCCGUGAGAUGUCCUGUUAAGUCAGGUAACGAGCGAGACCCUGCGUCUAGUUGCUACCAUUACUCUCUGGAGUAGUGGAGCGAAUUAGACGGACCGCCACAGUUAAUGUGGAGGAAGGAAGGGGCCACGGCAGGUCAGUAUGCCCCGAAACCCUGGGGCCACACGCGGGCUGCAAUGGUAUUGACAAUGUGUUCCGAAUCCGAAAGGAGGAGGCAAUCAUCAAACGAUACCUCAGUUAUGACUGAGGGCUGUAACUCGCCCUCACGAAUAUGGAAUCCCUAG
Molecule: ribosomal RNA, 766 nt
Filed under: uncultured Candidatus Cenarchaeales thaumarchaeote
Lineage: Archaea; Thermoproteati; Nitrososphaerota; Candidatus Cenarchaeales
Description: bacterial SSU rRNA
Rfam family: Archaeal small subunit ribosomal RNA
Source: RNAcentral